CAUACACAGUAUGCGGCCAAGCGAAAGUAUUAAGUGAGCCACCUGGGGAGUACGUUGGCAACAGUGAAACUCAAAGGAAUUGACGGGGGCCCGCACAAGCGGAGGAACAUGUGGUUUAAUUCGAUGAUACGCGAGGAACCUUACCUGGACUUAAAUGCAGAGUGACAGACCCUGAAAGGGGUUUUUCUUCGGACGUUUUGCAAGGUGCUGCAUGGUUGUCGUCAGCUCGUGCCGUGAGGUGUCGGGUUAAGUCCCAUAACGAGCGCAACCCCUACCGUUAGUUACCAUCAGGUUAUGCUGGGGACUCUAGCGGGACUGCCACCGUAAGGUGCGAGGAAGGUGGGGAUGACGUCAAAUCAGCACGGCCCUUAUGUCCAGGGCUACACACGUGUUACAAUGGCCAGUACAAAGGGCAGCUACCUGGUGACAGGAUGCUAAUCUCGAAAGCUGGUCUCAGUUCGGAUCGAAGUCUGCAACCCGACUUCGUGAAGCUGGAUUCGCUAGUAAUCGCGCAUCAGCCAUAGCGCGGUGAAUACGUUCCCGGGCCUUGUACACACCGCCCGUCAAACCAUGGAAGUUGGGGGUGCCUGAAGUCUGUGACCGCAAGGAGCGGCCUAGGGUAAAACUAAUGACUGGGGUUAAGUCGUAACAAGGUAGCCG
Molecule: ribosomal RNA, 660 nt
Filed under: uncultured bacterium
Lineage: Bacteria
Description: bacterial SSU rRNA
Rfam family: Bacterial small subunit ribosomal RNA
Source: RNAcentral